Molecule: transfer RNA, 72 nt
Filed under: Camelus bactrianus (Bactrian camel)
Lineage: Eukaryota; Metazoa; Chordata; Mammalia; Artiodactyla; Camelidae
Also listed under: 2 other names
Rfam family: tRNA
About the family: Transfer RNA (tRNA) molecules are approximately 80 nucleotides in length. Their secondary structure includes four short double-helical elements and three loops (D, anti-codon, and T loops). Further hydrogen bonds mediate the characteristic L-shaped molecular structure. tRNAs have two regions of fundamental functional importance: the anti-codon, which is responsible for specific mRNA codon recognition, and the 3' end, to which the tRNAs corresponding amino acid is attached (by aminoacyl-tRNA synthetases). tRNAs cope with the degeneracy of the genetic code in two manners: having more than one tRNA (with a specific anti-codon) for a particular amino acid; and 'wobble' base-pairing, i.e. permitting non-standard base-pairing at the 3rd anti-codon position.
Source: Rfam by way of RNAcentral
GAGGGUAUAGUUCAGUGGUAGAGCAUGUGCUUGGCAUGCACGAGGUCCUAGGUUCAAUCCCCAGUACUGCCA